RNAcentral lists this long non-coding RNA (206 nucleotides) under Gossypium barbadense (sea-island cotton). RNAcentral's name for it is "long non-coding RNA (GBAR_LNC003191)". The record is from RNAcentral. Lineage: Eukaryota; Viridiplantae; Streptophyta; Magnoliopsida; Malvales; Malvaceae.
UGUUUUCAGGUUAGCUUGGGGCUGGAGAUCGUCAGAGGCAGCAUCACACUAUCAAAUCGCUAUCUUUGGAAUAAUGAAGCAUAUAUUAGAAAUUUCAAGUGAGUGGCAUGUAUAGGGAUCUAGUUGAUUGACAUGUAUUAUUUUGCUUUGGCCAAAUGUUUUGGCUUAUAUUGAGUUAUAUGUAUAUGGCCAUGAGAUAUGGCUUA